AUUGAACGCUGGCGGCAGGCCUAACACAUGCAAGUCGAGCGGAUGAAGGGAGCUUGCUCCUGGAUUCAGCGGCGGACGGGUGAGUAAUGCCUAGGAAUCUGCCUGGUAUUGGGGGAUAACGUCCGGAAACGGGCGCUAAUACCGCAUACGUCCUGAGGGAGAAAGUGGGGGAUCUUCGGACCUCACGCUAUCAGAUGAGCCUAGGUCGGAUUAGCUAGUUGGUGGGGUAAAGGCCUACCAAGGCGACGAUCCGUAACUGGUCUGAGAGGAUGAUCAGUCACACUGGAACUGAGACACGGUCCAGACUCCUACGGGAGGCAGCAGUGGGGAAUAUUGGACAAUGGGCGAAAGCCUGAUCCAGCCAUGCCGCGUGUGUGAAGAAGGUCUUCGGAUUGUAAAGCACUUUAAGUUGGGAGGAAGGGCAGUAAGUUAAUACCUUGCUGUUUUGACGUUACCAAAAGAAUAAGCACCGGCUAACUUCGUG
Molecule: ribosomal RNA, 484 nt
Filed under: uncultured bacterium
Lineage: Bacteria
Description: partial 16S ribosomal RNA
Rfam family: Bacterial small subunit ribosomal RNA
Source: RNAcentral